GGGCUAUAGCUCAAUGGUAGAGCAUCUGCCUUGCAUGCAGACAGUCUCAGGUUCAAUCUCUGGCAUCUCCA
Molecule: non-coding RNA, 71 nt
Organism: Podarcis lilfordi (Lilford's wall lizard)
Lineage: Eukaryota; Metazoa; Chordata; Lepidosauria; Squamata; Lacertidae
Source: the annotation of a GenBank genome assembly